This 425-nucleotide ribosomal RNA is filed under the name uncultured bacterium. RNAcentral describes it as "bacterial SSU rRNA". It matches the Rfam family "Bacterial small subunit ribosomal RNA", at positions 357 to 774 of the family's 1533-position model. The record is from RNAcentral.
GGGAAUUUUGGACAAUGGGCGAAAGCCUGAUCCAGCAAUGCCGCGUGUGUGAAGAAGGCCUUCGGGCUGUAAAGCACUUUUGUUCGGGAAGAAAAGGUUUGGGCUAAUAUCCCGAACUGAUGACGGUACCGGAAGAAUAAGCACCGGCUAACUACGUGCCAGCAGCCGCGGUAAUACGUAGGGUGCAAGCGUUAAUCGGAAUUACUGGGCGUAAAGCGUGCGCAGGCGGUUUGUUAAGACAGAUGUGAAAUCCCCGGGCUCAACCUGGGAACUGCAUUUGUGACUGGCAAGCUAGAGUAUGGCAGAGGGGGGUGGAAUUCCGCGUGUAGCAGUGAAAUGCGUAGAUAUGCGGAGGAACACCGAUGGCGAAGGCAGCCCCCUGGGCCAAUACUGACGCUCAUGCACGAAAGCGUGGGGAGCAAACA